GACGGGGGCCCGCACAAGCGGUGGAGUAUGUGGUUUAAUUCGAUGCAACGCGAAGAACCUUACCUACCCUUGACAUGCCAGGAAUCCUGCAGAGAUGUGGGAGUGCUCGAAAGAGAACCUGGACACAGGUGCUGCAUGGCUGUCGUCAGCUCGUGUCGUGAGAUGUUGGGUUAAGUCCCGCAACGAGCGCAACCCUUGUCAUUAGUUGCCAUCAUUAAGUUGGGCACUCUAAUGAGACUGCCGGUGACAAACCGGAGGAAGGUGGGGAUGACGUCAAGUCCUCAUGGCCCUUAUGGGUAGGGCUUCACACGUCAUACAAUGGUCGGUACAAAGGGUUGCCAAGCCGCGAGGUGGAGCCAAUCCCAGAAAGCCGAUCGUAGUCCGGAUCGGAGUCUGCAACUCGACUCCGUGAAGUCGGAAUCGCUAGUAAUCGUGGAUCAGCAUGCCACGGUGAAUACGUUCCCGGGUCUU
Molecule: ribosomal RNA, 471 nt
Filed under: uncultured Rhodocyclaceae bacterium
Lineage: Bacteria; Pseudomonadati; Pseudomonadota; Betaproteobacteria; Rhodocyclales; Rhodocyclaceae
Description: bacterial SSU rRNA
Rfam family: Bacterial small subunit ribosomal RNA
Source: RNAcentral